Agrilus planipennis (emerald ash borer) is the source of this 291-nucleotide long non-coding RNA. RefSeq lists it as uncharacterized. The transcript has 3 exons. The record is from RefSeq and is a predicted model, not a curated record. NCBI's taxonomy places the organism in Eukaryota, Metazoa, Arthropoda, Insecta, Coleoptera, Buprestidae.
UUUCAAUGAUGAACCAUUAUUUGUACAUACCAUAUUAAUUACAUUGCUAAACAGUUCGAAGGAUGUUAUCCCUAUAAGUAUGAUCACGACACUAUAAAAUUCACUUAACUUCACAAACAAAAAUUAGAAGUACCUGCGCGUGCUACCGCUAAGAACAAUCAACAUUCAACAUAAGAGAACCCAACAACUAUAAACAACAUGAAAUACUUGCUAAUGCUAUGCCUCUUUGGAGUAAUAAUUAUGGGAAUUUAUUCCCAAGAGAACGUGAUAAUUCCAAUACCCAGAGUAUAU